This 351-nucleotide long non-coding RNA is filed under the name Nicotiana benthamiana. RNAcentral's name for it is "long non-coding RNA (NBEN_LNC003918)". The record is from RNAcentral. Lineage: Eukaryota; Viridiplantae; Streptophyta; Magnoliopsida; Solanales; Solanaceae.
AUUACACGAUACAUCAGAUCGUAAUACUUUCUUAACGAACUACAACAUCGUUUCUUUUCAGUUACCAGUAGUUUUGCAGCAUCAUCAGAGCGUGGAUAUGGCCGAUCUUCUCUGAAGUAAAACUCAGCCAUGGAUGCUAAGUCCUCUCCCGAGCAUCUAGCUGUGGGAGAGGUUUGCAACGUUAUAAAAACUGUUCCAAAAUUGUAUGUUUCAACUCUUCAAGAUAAACAGCCUACUCCAUCAAAAUUUGAGCUCUAUCCAGUUAUCAUCCAGCAUGGUAAUCCUGUAAUCCAAUUCACUAAAGAAGAGGUUAACAAAUUCAUUAGGGAAGAAGGUUUACAUCAGGCAACA